GAUGAACGCUAGCUACAGGCUUAACACAUGCAAGUCGAGGGGCGGCACGAUGUAGCAAUACAUUGGUGGCGACCGGCGCACGGGUGAGUAACGCGUAUGCAACCUACCUAUCAGAGGGGAAUAACCCGGCGAAAGUCGGACUAAUACCGCAUAAAACAGGGGUUCCACAUGGAAAUAUUUGUUAAAGAUUUAUCGCUGAUAGAUGGGCAUGCGUUCCAUUAGAUAGUUGGUGAGGUAACGGCUCACCAAGUCUACGAUGGAUAGGGGUUCUGAGAGGAAGGUCCCCCACACUGGUACUGAGACACGGACCAGACUCCUACGGGAGGCAGCAGUGAGGAAUAUUGGUCAAUGGGCGAGAGCCUGAACCAGCCAAGUCGCGUGAAGGAUGAAGGAUCUAUGGUUUGUAAACUUCUUUUAUAUGGGAAUAAAGUGAGGAACGUGUUCCUUUUUGUAUGUACCAUAUGAAUAAGCAUCGGCUAACUCCGUGCCAGCAGCCGCCGCCG
Molecule: ribosomal RNA, 503 nt
Filed under: uncultured bacterium
Lineage: Bacteria
Description: partial 16S ribosomal RNA
Rfam family: Bacterial small subunit ribosomal RNA
Source: RNAcentral